Molecule: ribosomal RNA, 157 nt
Filed under: Hypotrichomonadidae sp. KANEK
Lineage: Eukaryota; Parabasalia; Trichomonadida
Description: 5.8S-like ribosomal RNA
Rfam family: 5.8S ribosomal RNA
About the family: 5.8S ribosomal RNA (5.8S rRNA) is a component of the large subunit of the eukaryotic ribosome. It is transcribed by RNA polymerase I as part of the 45S precursor that also contains 18S and 28S rRNA.
Source: RNAcentral
ACCUUAGACAACGGAUGUCUUGGCUCCUCACACGAAGAAGAACGUUGCAUAAUGUGAUAAUUGGCUGGAGUAGCAACAUUACGACAAGUUCAAUCUUUGAAUGCACAUUGCGCCAGGGCUCCUCGGAGUGCUGGCAUAUCUGCGGCAGUAACCUUCU